UGGGGGAUCGUCUAGCGGCAGGACUACGGACUCUGACUCCGUCAACCGUGGUUCGAAUCCACGUCCCCCAGCCA
Molecule: transfer RNA, 74 nt
Filed under: Mariprofundales bacterium
Lineage: Bacteria; Pseudomonadati; Pseudomonadota; Candidatius Mariprofundia; Mariprofundales
Description: tRNA-Gln
Rfam family: tRNA
About the family: Transfer RNA (tRNA) molecules are approximately 80 nucleotides in length. Their secondary structure includes four short double-helical elements and three loops (D, anti-codon, and T loops).
Source: RNAcentral